GGUUUAAUUCGAAGCAACGCGAAGAACCUUACCAGGUCUUGACAUCUUCUGACAAUUCCAGAGAUGGAACGUUCCUUCGGGGACAGAAUGACAGGUGGUGCAUGGUUGUCGUCAGCUCGUGUCGUGAGAUGUUGGGUUAAGUCCCGCAACGAGCGCAACCCUUAUUGUCAGUUGCCAUCAUUAAGUUGGGCACUUUGGCGAGACUGCCGGUGACAAACCGGA
This 222-nucleotide ribosomal RNA is filed under the name uncultured bacterium. RNAcentral describes it as "partial 16S ribosomal RNA". It matches the Rfam family "Bacterial small subunit ribosomal RNA", at positions 943 to 1167 of the family's 1533-position model. The record is from RNAcentral.